RNAcentral lists this unclassified non-coding RNA (210 nucleotides) under Hevea brasiliensis (rubber tree). The record is from RNAcentral. Lineage: Eukaryota; Viridiplantae; Streptophyta; Magnoliopsida; Malpighiales; Euphorbiaceae.
GUGCUCCCCAGCGAAUCAGGCUGUUCACCUAUGCCAAAUAUGCAGUAUAUGGUCUUUCUCUGAAGCCCCAUCCUAAUUCUGAUUUUGUAGAGAAAGCUGCAUUUUCCAGAUUAAAGACAAAUGUUAGUUAUCUUCAGUCAAGGGUUAUUCUUGAGGUGCUGGAGCUGCUUUCUUGGAUGGAGCUUCAGAGAAAGACCAUAUACUGCAUAU